This 513-nucleotide ribosomal RNA is filed under the name Bohumiljania caledonica. RNAcentral describes it as "partial 16S ribosomal RNA". The stretch from base 387 to 513 matches the Rfam family "Bacterial large subunit ribosomal RNA", at positions 2473 to 2600 of the family's 2925-position model. Lineage: Eukaryota; Metazoa; Arthropoda; Insecta; Coleoptera; Chrysomelidae. The record is from RNAcentral.
GGCCUUUAGAUUUUAAUUUGAGGUCUAGCCUGCCCACUGAAGUUAUUAAAUGGCCGCGUAAAAUUGAUCGUGCUAAGGUAGCAUAAUAAUUAGUUUUUUAAUUGGAGACUUGUAUGAAAGGUUGGAUAAGAAAGUAACUGUUUCUAUUAUAAUUUUAUUAGAAUUUUAUUUUUAAGUAAAAAAGCUUAAAUAAUUUUAAAAGACGAGAAGACCCUAUAGAAUUUUAUAAAUUUUUAGUUUUUAAGGUUAUAGAAAAUUAGAUUUGAAAUCUGAAAAUUUAUUUGGUUGGGGUGACUGAAAAAUUAAAGUAACUUUUUAUUAAUUUGAACAUUAAUGUAUGAAUAGUUGGUCCAUUUUUUAUGGUUAUAAGAUUAAAUUACCUUAGGGAUAACAGCGUUAUUUUUUUUUAGAGUUCAAAUCGAAAAAAGAGAUUGCGACCUCGAUGUUGGAUUAAAAUUAAUAUUUGGUGUAGAGGCUGAAUAAUUAGGUCUGUUCGACCUUUAAAAUUUUACA